Molecule: long non-coding RNA, 4638 nt
Filed under: Capsicum annuum
Lineage: Eukaryota; Viridiplantae; Streptophyta; Magnoliopsida; Solanales; Solanaceae
Description: long non-coding RNA (CANN_LNC004290)
Source: RNAcentral
UACAAUAACAGAACCAGAAAAUCAAAAGGAAAGGAAUAUCAAUUUGCAUUCAUAUUUUUCUCCAACUUUCUCACAUUAAUCUCCUUCCAUAAUCGUGCACUAAAGCAUAUAUGUAAUCAAAUUCGCUGAACAAUAGAAGAAAAAAAGGAGAAAACAUUGAUAGCAGGUAAAUUAUUAUUUUUUUCCAAUUGUAUUCAAAAGAUUUGUCUACUUCGUCUUCAUUUUUUGGUAAACCUUUUACAUUGAAAGGUAUAAUGUAUAAAUGUAUUUGUUUUUGUAUGUGGGUAUGAGAUCCGAUUUGAUGAAUGAAUACCAUUGUGAAUUCGUUUGGUUUCAUAUAUAUAUAUUUUUUAUUUGUAUAUGUACUGAUUUAAGAUUUUCUUCAAUUCAAAACAAAUGCCUGCUUCGUCAUGAAUUGUUGAAUUUUUAUUUUAAAAAAGAUAUAAAAAUUAAUUAUUGAUGAAUUAGAGAAUGAAACUGUGUAUGAUACAGUUCUUGACUAAUGAAUACAUACAAAUUUGGAUUCGAUUGAAUUCAUUAGGAUCUUCUUUUAUUUGUCUUUGAUUUCUGUGUGUAUCAUCCGAAUGAAGAUUUUAGUGUAUAUACCGAAUGAAGAUUCAUUGAAAUCGUCUUUUAUUGGUAUUUGACUUUAGUAUAUAUAGUUAGCAUAUGUUAUACAAAUAUAUAUGUUUGUGUGUUGGAGGGUGUACAACUGUACAUACAUACAGUGUUGUUUUGUGCUCUCCACUUUUUGAGCCUUAUUUACGAAUGUCAUGUGUUGGUAGGUAUAUAUACAUAUACUUGAUAUAGAUAAAAUUCAUUUGUAUAAAUUUUUGUAAUGUAUAAUGUAGGAACAGUGGAGUAUUCACUGUUGUAUGUUGAGUGUCUUAGCAUUGAAAAUGCUAUCGCAUCAGUAGAGUUGGAUGUGGAUCAAUUCCGUACCCGAUAUGAUGUGCUUCUAUAGGAUUACCAAACUAGGCCUAUCAAGCCACUUUUUGAGUGUGAUAGUAGUGCAAUGAUUGUAAUUUAGCAGACACUAGAAGUGAUUCUACUUUUAUUUUUUCAUCCUAGUUAGUUUUAAUUUCAAUAUCCGUUAAGACAUUUUAGUUGUUAUUAUUUACAUGACAAUGAAUCACAACUCAUUUAUGAUUUGAACUUUUUUUUCUUGAAUUAUGUUUAGGAUAUUUUAUUCAUGUUAUGUUGCAACGAAAAUCAUAUCCACAUUACGAUGCCUCUGAAUUCAUAUCAUUGUCAGCGUUUUGUAUAACAUAUGCAUUUUUAUUUAAUCGAUUUAAUAUGUCUUCUAGCUAUAUAUACAAAUAUUAUACUGUAUAUACAUUAUAUGUAUAUAUACUUUUAAAAAUGGUACACAGUCUUUUUAUAUACAUUAAACUUUGAAACUUAGAAGUCGGAUUAUAAAUAUGAUAUGUAUACGUUUUUUUAAUUAAGUACAUUUAUAUAUAAUUGUAUUUUAUAUAUGAAAUAUUUUCAUAUCUGUAUUUUAUAAAUAAAAUAUUUUCAUGCAUUUCAAAUGUAUUUUUGAAUACACAUUCACUUAUUUGUAUUUAGCUUGUAUGUAUAUAUAGUUGAUUGUAAUUUAUAAUCAUAAAUAAAAGUGUUAUUAAAAUAGAAGUAUGUAUAGCAACCACCAUUCAAUAUUUUCUUCAACUUUUUCAUAAUAGCCUCUUUCCAUAUAUGUAAUAAUAUCAGUGGAUUCUAUGAAAUUAAUCCAUAUAUAUAGAAUACAAAUGUAUACACAGAACAACUAAGUGUAUAUUUAUACAGAAGGGAAAUGAUAAAAUAUUGAAUAUUAAGGCUUUAAGUAUAUAUAAUCCAUAUACAAAAUACAUUAAGAAUAAUAGGCGAAGAUAUGUAUAUAUAGUUAAUCAAAUGGAUAUAUAAAAUAUAAAUUUAAGAACAUGUAUCUAUAGUUAAUCAAAUGAGUAUACAAAAUACAUAUGUUCAUACAAUUAUACACAAUUAAGCACAUGUAUAUACAAAAAAUUAAUAUAAUGAAUGAAAACACUCCACAUCCAAAGCAUAAAUGUAGACAUAAAACAUUUACAUGUCUAGAAUAAUUUUAUAUGUACAAAUAUAAAAUUUCAAACUGUAUAAAUGUAUAUAAAUUCACUGAGACAACAAAAAAAUUCAUAUUUUGAUAUAAAUUCUACGAUAUAACUAAUCAGAGAAGGAGGAAAGGUAACGAGGACCUUAAGCAAGAGGUUGGGGGUUCGAUCCCCACCUCUGGUGAAUGGAAAAACUCUGUGGCCAGUUUCCUAUCUCUUAGUGCGCUGCUGACCAUAGGAACGGAGAAUUAGUCUCACGGCUGCCGCUGUGGGGAUACUUUGAGAAACUAAAAUAAAGAAGGUGACAAGGACGAGGAUGAGGGAAUUUGCCUCCAUGAAAUUUCACCGGAGAAGUAGGCGGCAAGAAAGAAGAGUGUGGGAUUUGUCUUCUCGGAAUGAGUUAUCCCAUGAAUUUUAUCUUCCCCGUAAAUUUUCUAUUCUCUUCAUUCUAAUUAAUAUCUUUAUGCUGCAAAACAAGUGCAACAAUAUGUAACAAGUUUUUUCUUUUUGCAUUCAUUCAUAUUCUCUUUACGAGGAGAAAAAACUGGUUCAUGAACCACCAAGCCAUCUCUUAUUCUGUUUUCAUUGCCUAAAAAAUUUGUCCCUUCUCCAACUUUUUACUAGAGGUAUUCAUAAUAUCCUUUCCAUUAAGUUUAAAAGGGGAAGAAUGUACAAAAUCUCAUUAAUGCAGUCACUAAAUAUUUUGGAUGCUUCUUCUUCAUAUGUUUAUACUGUAGUUCAGCAAAACAGAUGUAGUUGUUGCUAUAUUUUGGUGUUCAGGUUGCAACAAUCUUUAUGGUGUAAUAUCUUUAUUAUGUAUUAGUUUGUGAUGAUAGAAGCUUCUGAAGUUGGGAUUGAAUUUAACUUACAAAAAAGUUGAAGAUUGAUCUUACUAUUUGUUAUUACUUGGAAAGAGAAAAGGGGGUCUUGGAAGUACGCCUGUAUUUUCUAUGUAAAGAAAUACAACCCUUGAUUUGUAUUAUUGACGUUGAGUAGUUGGAACUGAUUGUUGGAAAAAUCAGACAAUUUUUCCACUAAAAUAAAAGAAAUAUCCAACAUAAUAUUGAAUAUAAAAAAUAAAGACACCAAAAGUUUUGAUAACGGAAUUCUCCAAACAUUCAAUGAAUUCUAUUAAUUGUGGGAGAAGAGAACACAAUUGUAGGAUGGAUACAUAUGGGAGGAGGAAGGGUUAUUUUAUAGUUCUAAACCUCCUCCCCAAAUGGUAAUUUUCCGAUGUGGUAGAAAUGAGCCACAAAACAACACUGAUAACUUUCCAUUACUGUUCUCUGGAAUGAUUAAGUUUUAGUUAAGUUGGUACAUUUACUGGUGGUCCAAUAUGUGUUAAGAGUGUUUUGAUCUUAUUAGAGAUUUAUCUGUGUUAGUAAAAUAUUGAGAGAACUUCUAAUGCUACUAUGCUAGGGAAUCUAAAUUUUCAAAUAUUGGAUUGAGAUGGAUUUAAAUGGAGCAUGAAUGUGAGAAUGCAUAUAGCCGAGCUUAAUGAGAUUCAAAUAUUGGUCCGUGCGUAGUUAUUGUUAUAGUAGUCUUAGGAGAUUCUAAGUGGGUAUUUACUUCGGCUUUUAUUUUUUAGAUUGGGAUCAAGGCGUAGCUAUUAUUGCUGUAUUCUUAAGAAAUUUCAAGAGGGCUGUUUAGUUCGGCUUUUAAUAAAAACAUAAGAACAGAAGAUAUUUGCAUCAAAUAGAACUUAAGAUUACUGUGAUAUUUCUUUUUGUUAUUGUUGCUAUCAUCCUGUACAUUUGCAUUUGGUCCAAUCUAUGAUAAUAAUAUUUAGAGAACUUCUCAUGCUAGAGAACUUAAAUUUUAAAUAUUGGAUUGAGAGACACUCAGCAUCCAAUAACUCCUUUGGUGGUUGUGUGUUUAGUUUCAUGAAUAAUAGCGUAAUUAUCUUGAUUUCUUUGAGCGAACAACUAACAAUUUCUGCUUUACGACAAUGCUGGUACUCUUUGCUAAAUCUUUUCAAGAAGUAGCUACAAAGAACACAAAAUGCAGAACAAAUAUGUAACCAAUAUAGCAUGUAGAUAUGUGGUGCAAAAUGAUAUAAUCAUGAAUGUAAACAAGAUAUCACUUGUCAAUUAUACAAUUAUAAAUAAUCUAUGCCGUUUAACUAAGAAAAGUGUUUCAAUGUUGGGUCGUGCACGCACGGACCAUCACUUUCUAAUAUAAAAAUAUAAAGUAAUGAAAAUACCCUUAUAGAAUUUUAACUACAGUUUAUUUUUUCCUUAAAAUUCUGAAAUUUACCAAUUUACUUUACCAUAUUCCUGAAAUUCUAUGCUUUCCUUAGUUUUCAAACUUUUCUUCUUUCCAUCAGUACUUUUCUCCGUUAAUCUCAUUUGAUUACUUUCAAGAAGUCUCCGUUUGUAUAUGAGGGUCCACUUAAUUAAAAACUAAUUCUAACUACUUGAUAUGAGUUAAAUGACCGCCUUAACUUUCGAUGACAUCAUUCAAAGUUACUACAUGAAGAAUCAAGCUUUGGUCACAUGGAGGGUACAGAAUCAUACUUGGAGGGGUCGUCUUGAGCAUGACGUCAUUAAACAAACCCGAGUGUGGAAGAUUG